UCGUCAGCUCGUGUCGUGAGAUGUUGGGUUAAGUCCCGCAACGAGCGCAACCCUUGCCUUUAGUUGCCAGCAUUAAGUUGGGCACUCUAGAGGGACUGCCAAGGAUAACCUGGAGGAAGGUGGGGAUGACGUCAAAUCAUCAUGCCCCUUAUGCUUAGGGCUACACACGUGCUACAAUGGGUGGUACAGAGGGCAGCCAAGUCGUGAGGCGGAGCUAAUCCCUUAAAGCCAUUCUCAGUUCGGAUUGUAGGCUGAAACUCGCCUACAUGAAGCUGGAGUUACUAGUAAUCGCAGAUCAGAAUGCUGCGGUGAAUGCGUUCCCGGGUCUUGUACACACCGCCCGUCACACCACGGAAGUUGGGGGCGCCCGAAGCCGGAUUGCUAACCUUUUGGAAGCGUCCGUCGAAGCGUGUAUAUAUACGGAAUAACUGGGGUGAAGUCGUAACAAGGUAGCCGUA
This 458-nucleotide ribosomal RNA is filed under the name uncultured bacterium. RNAcentral describes it as "bacterial SSU rRNA". It matches the Rfam family "Bacterial small subunit ribosomal RNA", at positions 1052 to 1504 of the family's 1533-position model. The record is from RNAcentral.